AUCCAACUGAUGAGUCGCGAGUAGGACGAAACGCGCAUCUUGGAU
RNAcentral lists this non-coding RNA (45 nucleotides) under Schistosoma mattheei. The record is from RNAcentral. Lineage: Eukaryota; Metazoa; Platyhelminthes; Trematoda; Strigeidida; Schistosomatidae.